GAGGAGGGAGUGGAGGGGGGCAGUGAAGAUCGAAAUUUGGAUUUGAAAGCACCCAAAUCUCCUUCCUCCAUUUCCAAAACCCUAGCCGCCAUGCCUGACCUCCCCUGCGACGGCGAUGGCGUCUGCAUGCUCUGCCACGCCGCCGCCCCUCCCGAGGUCGACCUCCUCCGAUGCUCCACCUGCGCAACCCCCUGGCACUCCCCCUGCCUCUCCAACCCACCUGCCCUCGCCGACGCCGCCCGCUGGACCUGCCCCGACUGCUCCGCCGACGCCCCGCCCCCGGCCCCUGCUCCCCUCGCCGCCGGGGGUGCCGGCCAACUCGUCGCCGCCAUCCGCGCCAUCGAGUGCGACCACACCCUCUCCGACCAGGACAAGGCACGCCGCCGCCAGGAGCUUCUCGGUGGAACCGCGCCCGCCGACACCGACGCCGACGAUGACGAGGGGGACGACGUGCUCGAGGCUAUCGGCAAAAACUUCAGCUGCGCCUUCUGCAUGAAGCUUCCCGAACGCCCCGUCACCACGCCAUGUGGCCAUAACUUUUGCCUGAAGUGCUUCCAGAAAUGGAUUAACAGCGGAAAAAGAACAUGUGGUAAAUGCCGGGCACAAAUACCAGCAAAAAUGGCAGAGCAACCGAGAAUCAACUCAGCAUUAGUUUCAGUUAUCCGUAUGGCUAAGGUUUCAAAAAAUGCCAACUCAGCUGUCUCAGCAGCUGCAUGUCAUUACAUACGAAAUGAUGACAGACCCGACAAGGCUUUUACAACUGAAAGGGCUAAGAGAGCUGGAAAAGCUAAUGCUUCAAGUGGCCAGAUCUUUGUGACUAUCCCACCCGACCAUUUUGGUCCCAUUCUUGCAGAGAAUGACCCCAGAAGAAACAUGGGUGUUCGAGUUGGCGAGACAUGGGAAGACAGACUUGAAUGCAGGCAAUGGGGUGCUCAUUUUCCUCAUGUGGCUGGUAUUGCUGGCCAGUCCACAUAUGGUGCUCAGUCAGUAGCCCUCUCGGGUGGGUAUGUUGAUGAUGAGGACCAUGGCGAAUGGUUUCUAUAUACUGGAAGUGGUGGAAGAGAUCUAAGUGGGAACAAGCGUACAAACAAGGAGCAGUCCUCAGACCAGAAAUUUGAGAAGCUGAAUGCUGCUCUUCGUAUUAGUUGCCUAAAUGGUUAUCCUGUCAGGGUUGUGCGGUCCCACAAGGAGAAGCGUUCUUCAUAUGCUCCUGAACGUGGUGUGAGGUAUGAUGGAGUUUAUAGGAUUGAGAAAUGUUGGAGGAAGAUUAGUGUUCAGGGUACAUUCAAGGUUUGCAGGUAUCUAUUUGUACGUUGUGACAAUGAACCAGCUCCUUGGACCAGUGAUAUUUACGGUGACCGUCCGAGGCCACUACCCAAGGUUGCUGAGCUGAAAGGUGCAACAGACAUAUCAGAGAGGAAAGGAACUCCUUCAUGGAACUUUGAUGAUAAAGAAGGCUGGAAGUGGGUAAAGCCUCCACCAAUCAGCAGGAAGCCUAAUCUAUCAGGGGAUCCUGAGACUGACAAGCAAAUUCGGAGGGUUGUAAGGCGUGCUCAGAUGUCUGUGGCUGAAAGGCUGCUGAAAGAGUUUGGAUGUUCCAUUUGCAAGCAGGUGAUGAAGGAGCCACUUACUACUCCCUGUGCUCACAACUUCUGCAAGACAUGUUUACUUGGGGCAUAUGACAGCCAAUCAUCUAUAAGGGAGAGAAGCCGGGGUGGCCGUACUCUAAGGGCACAGAAGGUUGUAAAGAAGUGCCCUUCCUGUCCAACUGAUAUUUGUGACUUCCUAGCGAAUCCACAGAUAAAUCGAGAAAUGAUGGGUCUAAUUGAGUCCUUGCAAAAGAAAGCUGUUGAAGAAGGCGAUAACAAGACAAGCUCAGAUGGUAGCAAUGGGGCUGAGUCGUCUGGAGAUGAUGAAAACACCGAAGCUUUAGAGAAGGAAGAGGACGAAAGCAGCUUGAAUGACGAAGAUGAUGGUGAUAGGCAUGAAAAGACUGGGGGCCUCCUUAUUGUUGAUUCGGAUGCUAAGGAUGAUGGAGAAGUUGUCAAGAAGAGCAAAGGAGAGGACGAGAAAGGACAAGGUGACAAGAAGACCAAGGACAGUGCUGAUGCGGUGGUGGACAUUGCAGUCGAAGAGAAACAGAUGGAGGGCUCUAAGAAGGCUGAGAACAAGCAGGGAGGUGGUCAGCAGGCAAGGAAGCGUAAGGGGAAUGCUGAGACUGUCGCCACCAAUGGUGGUAAAAGGAUGAAAACCGCUGCUGGUGGUGGUGAUGAUAUGGAGACAGUGGUGGAAGAAGAUGGUCCCCUGAAUGGAGGCACUCCUAUGAAGAGGAGCAGGAAGAGUGGUGAGGUGGAUGCUAAAGGCAGCGGCGGUAGCCCUGUUGCGAGCAGCCCUCGCAGGGUGACGAGGAGCAGCGCAAAGGCUGGUGAAGCCGAUGGUAGCCCUGCGACAAGGACCAGGAGGGCUAGCCGGGCUGAUACAGGUGCUCUCUGAAGCCUCAAGGUGGGUUGGCUGUAGAGGGAGUGCUUGAGCCAUGGCGGAAGCUGAAGCCAUGUCUCAACUUUUGGGGUCGUAUAUUCUAUGAAUCUAUAGUAAUUUGGGCCGUGUGCCUUGUGCUGCUCUACAGCACUAGUAGUUUGGUUCGCAAGUGGGAACUCAGAACUUUGGACCUGGAACUGGCGCGCUGUGCCUACUGUGCUGGCUUUUGGGUGGGUUGUUAGUCGAAGGAAACAUACCUAUAUACAGUAGCUGUGGAGUACCGUUACCUUUACCUGUAUGGAUGAUGAAUGUUCAUCAUACUCUUUUCCUAGCACUGGCAUGGUUUGCCUUUCUUCUUUAAUGUCUUUAACUAAUCUAAUCUGCUGCUGCUAUGCCUCUUAAGAUGCCUGAGGGUCGUCGUACUCAGCUCGCGUAUUUUGCAGGCUGCGAUCGAUCAUGAUAUUGAAAUCCCUGAAGUGCACUGCAUGGGUGAAGAAGGGACACGGACACAUGAAAUGAAUCAAGGCGAGUUUUCAGC
Molecule: RNA transcript, 3016 nt
Organism: Oryza brachyantha (malo sina)
Lineage: Eukaryota; Viridiplantae; Streptophyta; Magnoliopsida; Poales; Poaceae
Gene name: E3 ubiquitin-protein ligase ORTHRUS 2-like
Exons: 10
Source: RefSeq, a predicted model, not a curated record